RNAcentral lists this ribosomal RNA (381 nucleotides) under Paykullia kugleri. Its description in RNAcentral is "partial 16S ribosomal RNA". Lineage: Eukaryota; Metazoa; Arthropoda; Insecta; Diptera; Rhinophoridae. The record is from RNAcentral.
CGAAGGUAGCAUAAUCAGUAGUCUUUUAAUUGAAGGCUGGUAUGAAUGGUUGGACGAAAUAUUAACUGUUUCAUAAAAAUUUUUAGUAUAAUUUUAUUUUUUAGUUAAAAAGCUAAAAUUUAUUUAAAAGACGAGAAGACCCUAUAAAUCUUUAUAUUUAAAUUAUUAUAAUUUUAUAGAUUUUUUUUAUUAUAUUAAUUAAUAAUAUUUUAUUGGGGUGAUAUUAAAAUUUAAUAAACUUUUAAUUGAUUAUAACAUUAAUUUAUGAAUAAUUGAUCUAUUAUUAAUGAUUAAAAAAAUAAGUUACUUUAGGGAUAACAGCGUAAUUUUUUUGGAGAGUUCUUAUCGAUAAAAAAGAUUGCGACCUCGAUGUUGGAUUAA